This 253-nucleotide ribosomal RNA is filed under the name uncultured prokaryote. RNAcentral's name for it is "partial 16S ribosomal RNA". It matches the Rfam family "Bacterial small subunit ribosomal RNA", at positions 525 to 777 of the family's 1533-position model. The record is from RNAcentral.
ACGUAGGUGGCAAGCGUUGUCCGGAAUUACUGGGCGUAAAGCGUGCGCAGGCGGUUCGUGAUGUCUGAUGUGAAAGCCCCGGGCUUAACCUGGGAAUUGCAUUGGAAACUAGCGGGCUGGAGUGUGGCAGAGGGGGGUGGAAUUCCACGUGUAGCAGUGAAAUGCGUAGAGAUGUGGAGGAACACCGAUGGCGAAGGCAGCCCCCUGGGUCAACACUGACGCUCAUGCACGAAAGCGUGGGGAGCAAACAGGA